AUACGGAGGGUGCAAGCGUUAUCCGGAAUCAUAGGGUUUAAAGGGUCCGUAGGCGGGCGAUUAAGUCAGAGGUGAAAUCCCACAGCUCAACCGUGGAACUGCCUUUGAUACUGGUUGUCUUGAGUUACAGUGAAGUAGAUAGAAUGUGUAGUGUAGCGGUGAAAUGCAUAGAUAUUACACAGAAUACCGAUUGCGAAGGCAGUCUACUAACUGUAUACUGACGCUAAUGGACGAAAGCGUGGGGAGCGAACAGGAUUAGAUACCCUAGUAGUCC
Molecule: ribosomal RNA, 274 nt
Filed under: uncultured bacterium
Lineage: Bacteria
Description: partial 16S ribosomal RNA
Rfam family: Bacterial small subunit ribosomal RNA
Source: RNAcentral